RNAcentral lists this ribosomal RNA (347 nucleotides) under uncultured bacterium. Its description in RNAcentral is "partial 16S ribosomal RNA". It matches the Rfam family "Bacterial small subunit ribosomal RNA", at positions 338 to 696 of the family's 1533-position model. The record is from RNAcentral.
CCUACGGGAGGCAGCAGUCGAGAAUCAUUCACAAUGGGGGAAACCCUGAUGGUGCGACGCCGCGUGGGGGAAUGAAGGUCUUCGGAUUGUAAACCCCUGUCAUGUGGGAGCAAAUUAAAAAGAUAGUACCACAAGAGGAAUAGCCGGCUAACUCUGUGCCAGCAGCCGCGGUAAUACAGAGUUCUCAAGCGUUGUUCGGAAUCACUGGGCGUAAAGCGUGCGUAGGCUGUUUCGUAAGUCGUGUGUGAAAGGCGCGGGCUCAACCCGCGGACGGCACAUGAUACUGGGAGACUAGAGUAAUGGAGAGGGAAGCGGAAUGCGCGGUGUAGCAGUGAAAUGCGUAGAUA